Molecule: ribosomal RNA, 489 nt
Filed under: uncultured bacterium
Lineage: Bacteria
Description: partial 16S ribosomal RNA
Rfam family: Bacterial small subunit ribosomal RNA
Source: RNAcentral
AUUGAACGCUGGCGGCAGGCCUAACACAUGCCAGUCGAACGGUAACAGGAAGAAGCUUGCUUCUUUGCUGACGAGUGGCGGACGUGUGAGUAAUGUCUGGGAAACUGCCUGAUGGAGGGGGAUAACUACUGGAAACGGUAGCUAAUACCGCAUAACGUCGCAAGACCAAAGAGGGGGACCUUCGGGCCUCUUGCCAUCGGAUGUGCCCAGAUGGGAUUAGCUAGUAGGUGGGGUAACGGCUCACCUAGGCGACGAUCCCUAGCUGGUCUGAGAGGAUGACCAGCCACACUGGACCUGAGACACGGGCCAGCACCAAAGGGAAGGCAGCAGGGGGGAAUAUUGGACAAUGGGGGCAAGCCUGAUGCGGCCAGGCCGCGUGUAUGAGGAGGGCUUUCGAGUUGUAAAGUACUUUAAGCGGGGAGGAAGGAAGUAAAGUUAAUACCGUUGAUCAUUGACGUUACCAGCAGAAGAAGCACGGGCUAACUCCUU